RNAcentral lists this ribosomal RNA (296 nucleotides) under uncultured Chloroflexota bacterium. RNAcentral's name for it is "uncultured Chloroflexi bacterium partial 16S ribosomal RNA". It matches the Rfam family "Bacterial small subunit ribosomal RNA", at positions 1070 to 1382 of the family's 1533-position model. Lineage: Bacteria; Bacillati; Chloroflexota. The record is from RNAcentral.
AGGUGUAUGGUUAAGUCCCACAACGAGCGCAACCCUCGUCGCUAGUAAUUCCCUAGCGAGACCGCCUCGCAAAACGAGGAGGAAGGCGGGGAUGGCGUCAAGUCAGCAUGGCCUUUAUACCCUGGGCGACACACACGCUACAAUGGGUGGUACAGUAGGUAGCGAAGGAGCGAUCCGGAGCAAAUCCUUAAAACCAUCCUCAGUACGGAUUGCAGGCUGAGACCCGCCUGCAUGAAGCCGGAGUUGCUAGUAACCGCAUAUCAGCAUGGUGCCGGUGAACUACGUUCUCGGGCCUU